RNAcentral lists this ribosomal RNA (1226 nucleotides) under uncultured Sebacina. Its description in RNAcentral is "eukaryotic LSU rRNA". The stretch from base 599 to 1226 matches the Rfam family "Eukaryotic large subunit ribosomal RNA", at positions 1 to 605 of the family's 3401-position model. Lineage: Eukaryota; Fungi; Basidiomycota; Agaricomycetes; Sebacinales; Sebacinaceae. The record is from RNAcentral.
UUCCGUAGGUGAACCUGCGGAAGGAUCAUUAAUGAAUUAAAGUCGGUCUUCUGUGCUGGUGGUGACACAUGUGCACGUUGAUCGCAAAUCCACACACCUGUGCACCUUUGACUUUAGGAUCCGCUUGUUGGCUUGUCUGACUUGCAGCUGAUGUUGGUUUUGUGCUCAUCUGGAUCUUAGAGUAAUUUUACACACUCUGAAUGUAAUGGAAUGUUCCUGUGCAUAAUGCGCAAAAUACAACUUUCAACAACGGAUCUCUUGGCUCUCGCAUCGAUGAAGAACGCAGCGAAAUGUGAUAAGUAAUGUGAAUUGCAGAAUUCAGUGAAUCAUCGAAUCUUUGAACGCACCUUGCACCCUUUGGUAUUCCAAAGGGUACACCCGUUUGAGUGUCAUUGUAAUCUCACUUCAUCAGCUUUUGUUGAUGGAGGUGGACUUGGACUCUGUUGUGUCAUUACAACUGGUCUGAAAUGUGUGAGUGCACCCUGCUGUUGCAGCGUCCUCAGUGUGAUAAGCAUCUUCACUGAAUCAAGUUCCUUUGGGACACGUGUGUAAUGUGGGCUCUGUGCUGGCAAACUGUCUUUGGACAAUCUUGACAAUUUGACCUCAGAUCGAGUGGGACUACCCGCUGAACUUAAGCAUAUCAAUAAGCGGAGGAAAAGAAACUAACAAGGAUUCCCCUAGUAACGGCGAGUGAAGAGGGAAAAGCUCAAAUUUUGAAUCUGGUGCCUUUGGCAUCCGAGUUGUAAUCUAGAGAAGUGUUUUCUGCCUUGGACCACACAUAAAUUCCCUGGAAUGGGGUGUCAUAGAGGGUGAGAAUCCCGUUUGUGGUGUGGACUACCUUGGCUCUGUGAUACACUCUCAACGAGUCGAGUUGUUUGGGAAUGCAGCUCAAAAUGGGUGGUAAAUUCCAUCUAAAGCUAAAUAUUGGCGAGAGACCGAUAGCGAACAAGUACCGUGAGGGAAAGAUGAAAAGCACUUUGGAAAGAGAGUGAAACAGUACGUGAAAUUGUUGAAAGGGAAGCGUUUGAAGUCAGUCACAUUGGUCAGAAUUCAGCCUGGCUUAUGCCUGGUGUACUUUCUGGCAAAUGGGUCAGCGUCAAUUUUGACCGAGGGAGAAAGACUUGAGGAAGGUGGCUGUCUUUGGGCAGUGUUAUAGCCUCUUGUUGUAAUGCUCGGUUGGGAUUGAGGAUCGCAGCACGCCUUAUGGCCGGGGUUCGCGCCCUCGG